GAUGAAGAACGCAGUGAAAUGCGAUAAGUAAUGUGAAUUGCAGAAUUCAGUGAAUCAUCGAAUCUUUGAACGCACAUUGCGCCCAUUAGUAUUCUAGUGGGCAUGCCUGUUCGAGCGUCAUUAAGUCCACUUAAGCCCUGCUUAGUGUUGGGAGACUGCUCCAGCGGUGCUACCCUGUAGCUACCCUGCAGCUCCUCAAAGACAGCGGCGGAGUUGUGGUAUCCUCUGAGCUUAGUAACUUGUUCUAGCUUUCGAGUACACCACUUCCCCUGCCGUAAAACCCUUAAUUUUUAAUGGUUGACCUCGGAUCAGGUAGGAAUACCCGCUGAACUUAAGCAUAUAAUAAGCGGAGGA
RNAcentral lists this unclassified non-coding RNA (354 nucleotides) under soil metagenome. RNAcentral describes it as "partial contains 5.8S ribosomal RNA, internal transcribed spacer 2, and large subunit ribosomal RNA". The stretch from base 1 to 120 matches the Rfam family "5.8S ribosomal RNA", at positions 35 to 154 of the family's 154-position model. The record is from RNAcentral.